UACGGAGGGGGCUAGCGUUGUUCGGAAUUACUGGGCGUAAAGCGCACGUAGGCGGCUUUGUAAGUUAGAGGUGAAAGCCCAGGGCUUAACCCUGGAAUUGCCUUUAAGACUGCAUCGCUAGAAUCGUGGAGAGGUAAGUGGAAUUCCGAGUGUAGAGGUGAAAUUCGUAGAUAUUCGGAAGAACACCAGUGGCGAAGGCGACUUACUGGACACAUAUUGACGCUGAGGUGCGAAAGCGUGGGGAGCAAACAGG
RNAcentral lists this ribosomal RNA (253 nucleotides) under uncultured bacterium. RNAcentral's name for it is "partial 16S ribosomal RNA". It matches the Rfam family "Bacterial small subunit ribosomal RNA", at positions 524 to 776 of the family's 1533-position model. The record is from RNAcentral.